This 274-nucleotide ribosomal RNA is filed under the name uncultured bacterium. Its description in RNAcentral is "partial 16S ribosomal RNA". It matches the Rfam family "Bacterial small subunit ribosomal RNA", at positions 523 to 796 of the family's 1533-position model. The record is from RNAcentral.
AUACGGAGGGUGCAAGCGUUGUUCGGAAUCACUGGGCGUAAAGGGCGCGCAGGCGGUUUGGUAAGUCAGAUGUGAAAGCCCACGGCUCAACCGUGGAAGUGCAUUUGAAACUGCCAGACUUGAGUACCAGAGGGGAAAGUGGAAUUCCCGGUGUAGAGGUGAAAUUCGUAGAUAUCGGGAGGAAUACCGGUGGCGAAGGCGACUUUCUGGCUGGAUACUGACGCUGAGGCGCGAAAGCGUGGGGAGCAAACAGGAUUAGAUACCCGAGUAGUCC